RNAcentral lists this long non-coding RNA (928 nucleotides) under Drosophila guanche. The record is from RNAcentral. Lineage: Eukaryota; Metazoa; Arthropoda; Insecta; Diptera; Drosophilidae.
GGUGUCCACAAAGUGGGGCAGGAUGUUAAAAAUAGUUUUCUGAAACGUCUAACGUCGGUGGACAGAGCCAAGCCGAGCCGGCCGGCCGGCCGGCACAAGCCUUGGGCCCACACAGAAUUCCAUUAGGCAGAAGGAGGAGGAGGAGGAGGAAGAGGAGACACUUGGGUAGAUGACUCGACACCCACACGGUGGCCAUGACCGUGGCCGGCACGGUACGUCAAUGCAGCAAGGUCAUACGUAAUAGAGAGAGGAACGGCAGCAAUGGAAUGCCCCCGGCACACACCCCCUUUCCGGCGCUUUCCUUGCACUUGAACUUGCGCACGCGGCAGCUGCAUGUGCCUCCCCGGCACUCGAGGUGCGGUGCAGAGGGAGGAUUGGGUUGAGGGGCGGCUGCUAUCUACAGCUGGGUGGGUUUUUUGACCUUCAGCCGUGAGCUUUUGCAUCGGAGCUUAUUUUUAGUCCCGAGUCGACAGAGAUGCAGCAAAGCGGCAGAAAGAGAGGGCAAUGCAUUGAAAGGUCAUUCGUUUGACCGAACCCCCGGAGUCCAUGCACUGGAUGAGCGUUCAAGGUCAAAUGGCUGCAGCUGCAGCACACUCCACCGCCCCCAUCCGCCGCACCACGAUAAUUGCCACCUCCCGUACAACUAUGAGGCCUGGCUUUGGGGUUGACAUUGACAUUGACGCAAAUUGCCGAGGGUCAAGCGCACACAUUGCCCGCAGUGGCAGUGGCAGUGGCAGUUGCAGUGGCAGUCGCGCGCUCUGACUGCGUAAUAAAAGUGAAAGAAUGAAUCAAAUUAGUUAAGCGCCACUUCUGUGGAAAGCUUGGGCUACCGAUGGGGCGCCGUGUGGGCUUUGGGAACUGUACAUUGGAUUUCAUUUUAUAUGUGGGAGGCAUAAUUAAAGUAAACGAGAAUGAGCCAAGCAAGGAC